GGGGUUGUGGCUCAGUGGUAGAGCGUUUGCCUAGCAUGUAUGAGGCACUGGGUUCGAUUCUCAGCACCACA
This 71-nucleotide transfer RNA is filed under the name Marmota monax (woodchuck). RNAcentral describes it as "tRNA.Ala". It matches the Rfam family "tRNA". From Rfam's summary of the family: Transfer RNA (tRNA) molecules are approximately 80 nucleotides in length. Their secondary structure includes four short double-helical elements and three loops (D, anti-codon, and T loops). The record is from RNAcentral. Lineage: Eukaryota; Metazoa; Chordata; Mammalia; Rodentia; Sciuridae.